This 468-nucleotide ribosomal RNA is filed under the name uncultured bacterium. RNAcentral describes it as "partial 16S ribosomal RNA". It matches the Rfam family "Bacterial small subunit ribosomal RNA", at positions 28 to 507 of the family's 1533-position model. The record is from RNAcentral.
GACGAACGCUGGCGGCGUGCUUAACACAUGCAAGUCGAACGGAAAGGCCCUGCUUUUGUGGGGUGCUCGAGUGGCGAACGGGUGAGUAACACGUGAGUAACCUGCCCUUGACUUUGGGAUAACUUCAGGAAACUGGGGCUAAUACCGGAUAGGAGCUCCUGCUGCAUGGUGGGGGUUGGAAAGUUUCGGCGGUUGGGGAUGGACUCGCGGCUUAUCAGCUUGUUGGUGGGGUAGUGGCUUACCAAGGCUUUGACGGGUAGCCGGCCUGAGAGGGUGACCGGCCACCUUGGGACUGAGAUACGGCCCAGACUCCUAACGGAGGCAGCAGUGGGGAAUAUUGCACAAUGGGCGGAAGCCUGAUGCAGCAACGCCGCGUGCGGGAUGACGGCCUUCGGGUUGUAAACCGCUUUCGCCUGUGACGAAGCGUGAGUGACGGUAAUGGGUAAAGAAGCACCGGCUAACUACGUG